UAGCCACCUCUCUUUUCUUCUCUUUCCCCACUCCUUGGCUACCUUCAAUAUAUACGGUGUGCUUGGUGUCCCUUUCCAUCGUCACUCCUUCCCCCACCCCUCCUUCUCCUUCACUGCCAUCAACCCAUCUCCCUCCUCACUUCCUCAAAUCCACCUCCCUCACUCCCUCGCAGCCUCACAGUCACAAAAAAGCACAAAGUGUCGCUCUCCAUCAUGAGGUGAACAAGUUCCAAUGCCUUCGAUUUGCAACAACCAGCGGGUGUGAUUAACAAGAAAAUGAAGCUUGCAAGGGAGUCUAUUGUCUACCCAUUGUAUUGCACGUUCCCUUUAUGGGUUUUAUAUUAUGAAUUAGGUUUUCUUUUCUAAAUUUUAUACCCAUUGCAUAUGUAAUUGAGCGUUUGAUCCUCUAUGAACAUAUCUUUGGGUAGAAACAAUAAUUCUUGAUGAAUUUUGGUUUAUUUGUUUGUUAAUUAGAUUUGCUUGAUAUUAAUGUUCAAACUUUGAUUUUAUGAAUUGAAAAUUUUGAUUUGAGAUUGAGAAUUGAGAG
This 547-nucleotide unclassified non-coding RNA is filed under the name Hevea brasiliensis (rubber tree). The record is from RNAcentral. Lineage: Eukaryota; Viridiplantae; Streptophyta; Magnoliopsida; Malpighiales; Euphorbiaceae.